RNAcentral lists this ribosomal RNA (445 nucleotides) under uncultured bacterium. RNAcentral describes it as "bacterial SSU rRNA". It matches the Rfam family "Bacterial small subunit ribosomal RNA", at positions 331 to 792 of the family's 1533-position model. The record is from RNAcentral.
CCAGACUCCUACGGGAGGCAGCAGUGGGGAAUAUUGCACAAUGGGGGGAACCCUGAUGCAGCGACGCCGCGUGGGUGAAGGAGUAUUUCGGUAUGUAAAGCCCUAUCAGCAGGGAAGAACAAUGACGGUACCUGACUAAGAAGCACCGGCUAAAUACGUGCCAGCAGCCGCGGUAAUACGUAUGGUGCAAGCGUUAUCCGGAUUUACUGGGUGUAAAGGGAGCGCAGGCGGCGCGUUAAGCCUGGUGUGAAAGCCCGGGGCCCAACCCCGGGACUGCUCUGGAAACUGCGUCGCUGGAGUACGGGAGGGGCAGGCGGAAUUCCUGGUGUAGCGGUGAAAUGCGUAGAUAUCAGGAGGAACACCGGCGGCGAAGGCGGCCUGCUGGACCGUGACUGACGUUGAGGCUCGAGAGCGUGGGGAGCAAACAGGAUUAGAUACCCCAGUA